This 292-nucleotide ribosomal RNA is filed under the name uncultured bacterium. RNAcentral describes it as "partial 16S ribosomal RNA". It matches the Rfam family "Bacterial small subunit ribosomal RNA", at positions 505 to 796 of the family's 1533-position model. The record is from RNAcentral.
GUGUCAGCCGCCGCGGUAAGACGAAGGUUGCGAGCGUUGUUCGGAAUCACUGGGCUUAAAGCGCAUGUAGGCGGACAGGUAAGCGUUUUGUGAAAUACCUCGGCUUAACCGGGGAAUUGCUUGACGAACUACCUGUCUUGAGGCAAGCAGGGGUGCAUGGAACUCUUGGUGGAGCGGUGGAAUGCGUAGAUAUCAAGAGGAACGCCAGCGGUGAAAACGGUGCACUGGGCUUGUUCUGACGCUGAGAUGCGAAAGCGUGGGGAGCAAACGGGAUUAGAAACCCCAGUAGUCC